Molecule: ribosomal RNA, 253 nt
Filed under: uncultured bacterium
Lineage: Bacteria
Description: partial 16S ribosomal RNA
Rfam family: Bacterial small subunit ribosomal RNA
Source: RNAcentral
UACAGAGGUCCCAAGCGUUGUUCGGAUUCACUGGGCGUAAAGGGUGCGUAGGCGGUCGGGUAAGUCUGAUGUGAAAUCUCUGGGCUCAACCCAGAAAUGGCAUUGGAUACUAUUCGGCUUGAGUUCUGGAGGGGGGACUGGAAUUCUCGGUGUAGCAGUGAAAUGCGUAGAUAUCGAGAGGAACACCAGUGGCGAAGGCGAGUCCCUGGACAGAUACUGACGCUGAGGAACGAAAGCUAGGGGAGCAAACAGG